GGGCCUGUAGCUCAAUGGUUAGAGCCGGCGGCUCAUAACCGCUUGGUUGGGAGUUCGAGUCUCUCCGGGCCCACCC
RNAcentral lists this transfer RNA (76 nucleotides) under Agrobacterium tumefaciens. Its description in RNAcentral is "tRNA-Met". It matches the Rfam family "tRNA". Rfam says of the family: Transfer RNA (tRNA) molecules are approximately 80 nucleotides in length. Their secondary structure includes four short double-helical elements and three loops (D, anti-codon, and T loops). Further hydrogen bonds mediate the characteristic L-shaped molecular structure. tRNAs have two regions of fundamental functional importance: the anti-codon, which is responsible for specific mRNA codon recognition, and the 3' end, to which the tRNAs corresponding amino acid is attached (by aminoacyl-tRNA synthetases). tRNAs cope with the degeneracy of the genetic code in two manners: having more than one tRNA (with a specific anti-codon) for a particular amino acid; and 'wobble' base-pairing, i.e. permitting non-standard base-pairing at the 3rd anti-codon position. Lineage: Bacteria; Pseudomonadati; Pseudomonadota; Alphaproteobacteria; Hyphomicrobiales; Rhizobiaceae. The record is from RNAcentral.